GGUUAUGGCUCAGGGGUAGAGCACUCGCCUAGCACAUGUGAGGUCCUGGGUUCAAUCCUCAGCACCA
This 67-nucleotide transfer RNA is filed under the name Marmota monax (woodchuck). RNAcentral describes it as "tRNA.Ala". Lineage: Eukaryota; Metazoa; Chordata; Mammalia; Rodentia; Sciuridae. The record is from RNAcentral.